Molecule: long non-coding RNA, 514 nt
Organism: Herpailurus yagouaroundi (jaguarundi)
Lineage: Eukaryota; Metazoa; Chordata; Mammalia; Carnivora; Felidae
Exons: 3
Source: RefSeq, a predicted model, not a curated record
CUUAUUAAUGUGAUCACCCCAGUGAUACAGGAGGGUGCAUACUUCAUCAUUUAUAUCAAUGCGGAAAUGACAAAGAAGGAGAAGCUAGACCAUCUGGGGCCGUGGGAAGGUCUGGCAGAGAGAGAGUACUUGACAGCGAAAGUACUUGGGAGGCCUGACUUCAUCUCCUCGUAUCCAGGGACUGACUGAAACAACACAGACAAGGGCCAUUUAUGGAAGGACAGGUAACCACCAAAGGCUCUACGGUGGAAAUAAGAACGCAGUGAACAAACAGUGAGCAGGAAGGAGGUUUGGCAGCAGGCAGUGAGAUCCAUCCAGCUAACAAACUAUAGCGCAGGGUUGGUCUCCAAUGCUAGAAUAUGUGGGUACCAAGUAUUGAUUCACUAAUAUAUCCAUUUGCUUAACAAAUGCAUGCUGAUUCUUGCUAUGCGACGCCAUUAUAUUGGAAGGAUAGGUCUAGACAUUUGCUCAUUUUUCGAUUUGCUCAACCAGUAUUAUUAAACAGCUACUAUGU